AAUAGAGAAAGAGAGAGAGAGAGAGAGAGAGAGAGAGAGAGGGCGGCUGUUUGGAGGGGAGGGAGAACUAGAAAAUAUUUCGAUGUACUCUUAUUCUCUCUCUCUCUCUCUCUCUCUCUCUCUCUCUCUGCCUAUGU
This 137-nucleotide microRNA precursor is filed under the name Bigelowiella natans CCMP2755. RNAcentral describes it as "miRNA EPrBNAG00000013189". Lineage: Eukaryota; Cercozoa; Chlorarachniophyceae. The record is from RNAcentral.